ACUCCUACGGGAGGCAGCAGUGGGGAAUAUUGCACAAUGGGCGCAAGCCUGAUGCAGCCAUGCCGCGUGUAUGAAGAAGGCCUUCGGGUUGUAAAGUACUUUCAGCAGUGAGGAAGGUGGGUAUGUUAAUAGCAUACUCAUUUUGACGUUAGCUGCAGAAGAAGCACCGGCUAACUCCGUGCCAGCAGCCGCGGUAAUACGGAGGGGGCUAGCGUUGUUCGGAAUUACUGGGCGUAAAGCGCGCGUAGGCGGAUCUUUAAGUCAGGGGUGAAAUCCUGGGGCUCAACCUCAGAACUGCCCUUGAUACUGAAGAUCUUGAGUCCGGAAGAGUUAGUGGAAUUCCCAGUGUAGAGGUGAAAUUCGUAGAUAUUGGGAAGAACACCAGUGGCGAAGGCGGCUAACUGGUCCGGUACUGACGCUGAGGUGCGAAAGCGUGGGGAGCAAACAGGAUUAGAUACCCU
This 461-nucleotide ribosomal RNA is filed under the name uncultured bacterium. RNAcentral describes it as "bacterial SSU rRNA". It matches the Rfam family "Bacterial small subunit ribosomal RNA", at positions 335 to 788 of the family's 1533-position model. The record is from RNAcentral.